This 471-nucleotide ribosomal RNA is filed under the name Cladosporium herbarum. Its description in RNAcentral is "eukaryotic LSU rRNA". The stretch from base 121 to 274 matches the Rfam family "5.8S ribosomal RNA". RNAcentral also lists the same sequence under 1 other name. Lineage: Eukaryota; Fungi; Ascomycota; Dothideomycetes; Cladosporiales; Cladosporiaceae. The record is from RNAcentral.
CCCUUUGUUGUCCGACUCUGUUGCCUCCGGGGCGACCCUGCCUUCGGGCGGGGGCUCCGGGUGGACACUUCAAACUCUUGCGUAACUUUGCAGUCUGAGUAAACUUAAUUAAUAAAUUAAAACUUUUAACAACGGAUCUCUUGGUUCUGGCAUCGAUGAAGAACGCAGCGAAAUGCGAUAAGUAAUGUGAAUUGCAGAAUUCAGUGAAUCAUCGAAUCUUUGAACGCACAUUGCGCCCCCUGGUAUUCCGGGGGGCAUGCCUGUUCGAGCGUCAUUUCACCACUCAAGCCUCGCUUGGUAUUGGGCAACGCGGUCCGCCGCGUGCCUCAAAUCGUCCGGCUGGGUCUUCUGUCCCCUAAGCGUUGUGGAAACUAUUCGCUAAAGGGUGUUCGGGAGGCUACGCCGUAAAACAACCCCAUUUCUAAGGUUGACCUCGGAUCAGGUAGGGAUACCCGCUGAACUUAAGCAUAU